AUAUGGGUAAAAAUGUACAUAUAUAAUUACAUUAGAUGUAUGUUUCAUUAUAAUACUUUGUUAUGAUUGGCUAACUGCACAUCACAUGUUAUUCCUUUAGCAAUUGCAUUACUCAAUAAAACUUUUCAUUCAUGAUAACACGUGGUCCCACAAUAAAGUGCAUAGGUGAAUUAAGUAAAACAAUUAUAAAAUUUGUGUUUUCAUGAUCAUAGCUAAAAAAUGUAAUUAUAAGUAUUGAAUGCUUCUUUUUGUAACUUCAUAGGGUUGUAAAAGCGUUGAACAUGCGCACAUUUUUAGAAUGAAGCAUGUAUGAUUAGCGCGGAAACAGAAUGUACUUCGGUCAAAGCUUUAACACCCCAAUGAAGUUACAAAAAGAAGCCUUCAAUUCUUAAAUAUUGUAGUUUGUCAGUAAUCUCCAAACUUUCUACAACAGCUUGAAACAUCUCCAGCCAGUAGUAUUUGCAUUUUGAAAUAAAUAUUCAUUAUAUAUAUAUAUAUAAUUACUACAAACGAUUAUAAACACAGCAAAAAUUAGAUGCAUUUAACACUGUAAAACAGAAG
This 561-nucleotide long non-coding RNA is filed under the name Mytilus galloprovincialis (Mediterranean mussel). The record is from RNAcentral. Lineage: Eukaryota; Metazoa; Mollusca; Bivalvia; Mytilida; Mytilidae.